This 104-nucleotide small nuclear RNA is filed under the name Pongo abelii (Sumatran orangutan). Lineage: Eukaryota; Metazoa; Chordata; Mammalia; Primates; Hominidae. The record is from RNAcentral.
GUGCUCACUUUGGCAACACAUAUACUAAAACUGGAACAAUACAGAGAUGAGCACAGCCCUUGCACAAGGAUGACAUGCAAAUUCGUUAAGCAUUCCAUAUUUUU